GACGAACGCUGGCGGCGUGCCUAACACAUGCAAGUCGAACGAGGUCCAUGAGAGCUUGCUCUCAGAAGACCUAGUGGCGAACGGGUGAGUAACACGUGAGAAACCUGCCUCGGAGUGGGGAAUAACUCGGGGAAACUCGAGCUAAUACCGCAUAUCUUCACAUGAUCGCAUGGUCGAGUGAAGAAAGAAUUUCGCUCUGAGAGGGUCUCGCGGCCUAUCAGCUUGUUGUGGGGUAACGGCCCACCAAGGCAACGACGGGUAGCUGGUUUGAGAGAACGAUCAGCCACACUGGGACUGUGACACGGCCCAGACUCCUACGGGAGGCAGCAGUGGGGAAUCUUGCGCAAUGGGCGAAAGCCUGACGCAGCAACGCCGCGUGCGGGAUGACGGCCUUCGUGGUUGUAAACCGCUUUCAGCAGGACGAAAAUGACGGUACCUGCAGAAGAAGCCCCGGCUAACGUACGUAGCCAGCAGCCGCGGUAAU
This 484-nucleotide ribosomal RNA is filed under the name uncultured bacterium. Its description in RNAcentral is "bacterial SSU rRNA". It matches the Rfam family "Bacterial small subunit ribosomal RNA", at positions 28 to 524 of the family's 1533-position model. The record is from RNAcentral.